RNAcentral lists this ribosomal RNA (402 nucleotides) under bacterium. Its description in RNAcentral is "partial 16S ribosomal RNA". It matches the Rfam family "Bacterial small subunit ribosomal RNA", at positions 355 to 776 of the family's 1533-position model. The record is from RNAcentral.
UGGGGAAUAUUGCACAAUGGGGGAAACCCUGAUGCAGCGACGCCGCGUGAACGAAGAAGGUAUUCGUAUCGUAAAGUUCUGUCCUAUGGGAAGAUAAUGACAGUACCAUAGAAGAAAGCUCCGGCUAAUACGUGCCAGCAGCCGCGGUAAUACGUAUGGAGCGAGCGUUGUCCGGAAUUAUUGGGCGUAAAGGGUACGCAGGCGGUUUAAUAAGUCGAAUGUUAAAGAUCGGGGCUCAACCCCGCAAAGCAUUGGAAACUGAUAAACUUGAGUAGUGGAGAGGAAAGUGGAAUUCCUAGUGUAGUGGUGAAAUACGUAGAUAUUAGGAGGAAUACCAGUAGCGAAGGCGACUUUCUGGACACAAACUGACGCUGAGGUACGAAAGCGUGGGGAGCAAACAGG